Molecule: long non-coding RNA, 989 nt
Filed under: Homo sapiens (human)
Lineage: Eukaryota; Metazoa; Chordata; Mammalia; Primates; Hominidae
Description: long non-coding RNA NONHSAT179324.1
Source: RNAcentral
CUGCAGCCCUCGGAGGACAGAAGUGUUGUGCGCCCAACAGAACCCUCUGAGACGCAAGCUGCUCCCUUGGCUAGCUCAUAUGUGGAAAUAGCCCUGUAAUUCGAGGUAACUCCUUCCGCUCGUGUCCACAUCCCUCUUGUUGAGAGCUCACUGAAAGUCAUGUGCCCGGGGAAUGUUCCUGUGACUGUUUUUUGUUUUUCCUUUUUUUUUUAACUUUGUUUUUGUUUUUUUCAAUUAAGCUGGAACUAAAGUCAGGCCCAGCCAUUACGCUCCCCACGUGCAGCCAGGUGCAGCCUGGGCCCAGUCAUGCCUGGCUCAUAGAUGAAAUCCCUUAAGCAGGAUUGAAGACCAGUGAACGCCCCCGCCUUUUGGAUUUUUUGCUCAAUUGACCGUCUUUUCCAGACCUCUUUAAGUCACACUCUUAACUUAGCUUUCUCUGAUGUCUGUUGCCGCCAUUAGUUUUUUUCUAGAGCCCACACUGGCCCACAUAGCUCCAUCCCAUACGGGUAGCUGGCUCCAGCUGCGCCAAGGUGCAGACCCGCCCUGGGCAUGCUGGCCUGUGACGGAGCCUGAGGUCACAGCCCCCUGACUAGCCUGAGACCUUCCUAGGGGCUGUGGCUGUUUCCGGGGAGGCCGGGAGGGGCAGCUGUGAGCCCUGUGGAGGACGUUGGGAGUAACGCUGCUUUGCUUUGGCAGGUUGAAGGGGCCCGGCCAGGACUCGGGGAAGGGUGGCCUGAGAGCAGCGAUGACCUCUGGGGUCACUGUCCCAGGAGGGACUUCACCUGGAACAAGAGCUGGAGGCAGCCGCUUGCCCAGGAGGCUUGUCCCCUGAGGCGCUUCGCCAGUGAGGUGCGGGCUCAGGGCCUCGAGUCUCUCCUGGAGCACGGGCUGCGGUGCGCCGGCAGCUUACGGGGCGGCCAGUCCUUGCCCACAACGAUGUGGAGCCCUGUGAAAGUCGGAUUCGAAUAAAGGGCCACGUGUGCACCCAG